RNAcentral lists this long non-coding RNA (277 nucleotides) under Elaeis guineensis (African oil palm). RNAcentral's name for it is "long non-coding RNA (EGUI_LNC054285)". The record is from RNAcentral. Lineage: Eukaryota; Viridiplantae; Streptophyta; Magnoliopsida; Arecales; Arecaceae.
AUGUUCGAUUUUCAAGGAAAUUUAUCCUUAAUUUCUUUGCAAUUCAUCACCGAAUUCUUGUUCUCCAUCAGCUCUUUCCCAAUCACAGCAUGAUCUCUUGAAGGGUCUGUCUUACAGGCAGUCUUUAAAUGGGUAACCAUGCAUGCAUGAUGCUAUAUUUAAUACAUUUAAACAUACUGAUUUAUAUAAAAAUAUGUUUACGUAAUAGUUUUUGUACUCAACUACUUGUGACUUGUUUAGAUCGCAACUUAUUUGCUUUAUGUUCUGGAACCAGCCA